UGGGGAAUAUUGGACAAUGGGGGAACCCUGAUCCAGCCAUGCCGCGUGUGUGAAGAAGGCCUUAUGGUUGUAAAGCACUUUAAGCGAGGAGGAGGCUACUAGUAUUAAUACUACUGGAUAGUGGACGUUACUCGCAGAAUAAGCACCGGCUAACUCUGUGCCAGCAGCCGCGGUAAUACAGAGGGUGCGAGCGUUAAUCGGAUUUACUGGGCGUAAAGCGUGCGUAGGCGGCCAUUUAAGUCAAAUGUGAAAUCCCGAGCUUAACUUGGGAAUUGCAUUCGAUACUGGAUGGCUAGAGUAUGGGAGAGGAUGGUAGAAUUCCAGGUGUAGCGGUGAAAUGCGUAGAGAUCUGGAGGAAUACCGAUGGCGAAGGCAGCCAUCUGGCCUAAUACUGACGCUGAGGUACGAAAGCAUGGGGAGCAAACAGGAUUAGAUACCCUGGUAGUCCAUGCCGUAAACGAUGUCUACUAGCCGUUGGGGCCUUUGAGGCUUUAGUGGCGCAGCUAACGCGAUAAGUAGACCGCCUGGGGAGUACGGUCGCAAG
This 544-nucleotide ribosomal RNA is filed under the name uncultured bacterium. RNAcentral describes it as "partial 16S ribosomal RNA". It matches the Rfam family "Bacterial small subunit ribosomal RNA", at positions 355 to 892 of the family's 1533-position model. The record is from RNAcentral.